RNAcentral lists this ribosomal RNA (588 nucleotides) under Leptohelia microstylus. Its description in RNAcentral is "Lepidopora microstylus partial 16S large subunit ribosomal RNA". It matches the Rfam family "Bacterial large subunit ribosomal RNA", at positions 1834 to 2594 of the family's 2925-position model. The record is from RNAcentral. Lineage: Eukaryota; Metazoa; Cnidaria; Hydrozoa; Anthoathecata; Stylasteridae.
CCUAGAAAUAAAUCUAAGGUGAAACCUGCCCAAUGAAUCUCAACUUAAUAGUUUUGAAUAACUAAAAGAGAAUUUAAAGGACGCAGUAACUUGACUGUGGUAACGUAGCAUAAUCACUUGCCAUUUAAUUUAUGGAUAGUAUGAAUGGUUAAACGAAUUCCUCACUGUCUAAAAAAGAGAAGUCAUGAAAUUAAAAUAAUAGUCAAGAUGCUAUUUAAAAUUGUAAGACGAAAAGACCCUAUAGAGCUUAACUACAUUCUUUUUUAAAAUUAAAGAAGAAAACUUAAUAAUAGAAAGAAAGGUAGUUUAGUUGGGGCGACUGUCUUCUAAAUCAAACGAAGGUAAACAAUGUUAAUAAUUAACUUAUUGUAUAAUUUAUAAAUUUAACAGUUACAAAAGUAGGUUAUAAUGACCCGUUAAAAUAUAGUAAAAUAUUUAACGAUUAAUAAAUAAAAGCUACCUUAGGGAUAACAGAAUAAUUUUGUUCUAGAGACCCUAUCGAAAACAAAGUUUGUCACCUCUAUGUUGAAUUAAGAUAUCCUAAUAAUGCAGAAGUUAUUAAGGGUAGGUCUGUUCGACUUUUAAAAU